RNAcentral lists this ribosomal RNA (409 nucleotides) under uncultured bacterium. Its description in RNAcentral is "partial 16S ribosomal RNA". It matches the Rfam family "Bacterial small subunit ribosomal RNA", at positions 355 to 755 of the family's 1533-position model. The record is from RNAcentral.
UGGGGAAUAUUGCACAAUGGGCGCAAGCCUGAUGCAGCCAUGCCGCGUGUGUGAAGAAGGCCUUCGGGUUGUAAAGCACUUUCAGCGAGGAGGAAGGGUAGUGUGUUAAUAGCACAUUGCAUUGACGUUACUCGCAGAAGAAGCACCGGCUAACUCCGUGCCAGCAGCCGCGGUAAUACGGAGGGUGCAAGCGUUAAUCGGAAUUACUGGGCGUAAAGCGCACGCAGGCGGUUUGUUAAGUCAGAUGUGAAAUCCCCGCGCUUAACGUGGGAACUGCAUUUGAAACUGGCAAGCUAGAGUCUUGUAGAGGGGGGUAGAAUUCCAGGUGUAGCGGUGAAAUGCGUAGAGAUCUGGAGGAAUACCGGUGGCGAAGGCGGCCCCCCUGGACAAAGACUGACGCUCAGGUGCG